Molecule: unclassified non-coding RNA, 299 nt
Filed under: uncultured fungus
Lineage: Eukaryota; Fungi
Description: partial contains small subunit ribosomal RNA, internal transcribed spacer 1, and 5.8S ribosomal RNA
Rfam family: Eukaryotic small subunit ribosomal RNA (bases 1-73)
Source: RNAcentral
GCAAACUUGGUCAUUUAGAGGAAGUAAAAGUCGUAACAAGGUUUCCGUAGGUGAACCUGCGGAAGGAUCAUUAUCGAGUAUUAGGACCUCCAAGUCCUUACUCCCACCCCAUGUUGACCUAUUCCGUUGCUUUGGUAGACCGGUGGAGUAAAGCUCCGCCGCUGGCUCAAGAGGCUAGAAAGCGUCUACCAGAGUAUUUUAAAAACUCUGGUUAACGUGGCAUCCGAGUUUGUAGAAAUUGAAUAGAAAAAACUUUUAACAACGGAUCUCUUGGUUCUGGCAUCGAUGAAGAACGCAGC